Phoenix dactylifera (date palm) is the source of this 376-nucleotide non-coding RNA. The record is from RefSeq and is a predicted model, not a curated record. Lineage: Eukaryota; Viridiplantae; Streptophyta; Magnoliopsida; Arecales; Arecaceae.
GGUGCUCUUCUCCCCAUCCCUUCUCCUCUCUCUCUCUCUCUCCAGUUGCGUUCGAACCCUCUCUCUUCUCUCUCUAUAAAUAGAAAGCCUGGCUGGGUUUAAAUCUUCACCUUUCCUCUGAUAUUUUUAUUUUCUUGCCCUCUUACAUUCCAUCGUCCCGUCUUGCACGCGAUAAAAAUCUGUUUCUGGGAUCCAGUGAUGUCGAAGUCAGGAGCUCUGGAUCUUGCUUUUGGUGUGGGAGGAAGGAUCGACAAGAAGGAAGUUAAAUCGGCAGUGGAGCAGUAUGAGAACUAUCAUGUCUAUUUUGGAGGGGAUGAAGGAAACAAGAAAAGCCAACUACAGUGACAUGGUAAGACAACUUAUUUAUUUAUUUCUU